UAAGUCAGUAGUGAAAUGACGAGGCUCAACCGCAUAAAUAUUAUCUAAACUGCUAAGCUAGAAUAUAGAAGAGGUAGCUGGAAUUCCUAGUGUAGGAGUGAAAUCCGUAGAUAUUAGGAGGAACACCGAUGGCGUAGGCAGGCUACUGGUCUAUUAUUGACGCUAAGGCACGAAAGCGUGGGUAGCAAACGGGAUUAGAUACCCCGGUAGUCCACGCCGUAAACUAUGGAUGCUA
RNAcentral lists this ribosomal RNA (235 nucleotides) under uncultured Candidatus Saccharibacteria bacterium. RNAcentral describes it as "partial 16S ribosomal RNA". It matches the Rfam family "Bacterial small subunit ribosomal RNA", at positions 584 to 818 of the family's 1533-position model. The record is from RNAcentral. Lineage: Bacteria; Candidatus Saccharimonadota.